Molecule: ribosomal RNA, 274 nt
Filed under: uncultured bacterium
Lineage: Bacteria
Description: partial 16S ribosomal RNA
Rfam family: Bacterial small subunit ribosomal RNA
Source: RNAcentral
AUACGGAGGGUGCAAGCGUUACUCGGAAUCACUGGGGGUAAAGCGCGCGCAGGCGGUCUUUUAAGUUGGAUGUGAAAGCCUACGGCUCAACCGUAGAACUGCAUCCAAAACUAUUAGACUAGAGUGUGGGAGAGGAAGAUGGAAUUAGUUGUGUAGGGGUAAAAUCCGUAGAGAUAACUAGGAAUACCAAAAGCGAAGGCAAUCUUCUGGAACACUACUGACGCUGAGGCGCGAAAGCGUGGGGAGCAAACAGGAUUAGAUACCCUAGUAGUCC